AUGAUGAAUAAAGCAGACAUAAUUCAUCUCUAGAAAGACUACUUAUACCCUGACAUUUGAAAUGCUUUUUAUUUAGAAUAGUAGUAAAAAUGGAAAAAGAAAAAGAUGAUGAAAAACGAAACCAAGAGAACUCCUUGGACUUUUCUGAACACUUUAACCAACUUGAAUUAUUGGAAACACACAGACAUCUUAUUCCCACUGGUUCUCAGAGUCUCUGGGUAGGCAAUUCUGAUGAAGAUGAGGAACAAGAUGAAAAAAAUGAAGAGUGGUAUCAAUUCCAAGAAAAUAAAAUGGAAAAAGACCCAAGCAAGUUGCUUCUGUGGGCUGCUGAAAAGAAUCGGCUUAUUACAGUGCUGAGACUCCUUUCGGAAAAGGCCACUCAUGUGAACACCAGGGAUGAGGAAGCCUAUACCCCUCUUCACCGAGCAGCCUACAGUGGACACUUGGACACUGUCCAUGAGCUGGCUGCACAAGGGGCAGAUGUCCAUGCAGUGACCUUGGAUGGCUGGACAUUGCUUGUGAGUGGAAUCAUGCCAGAGUGGCUUCUUUCUUACUUCAGCACGAUUUGGGUAUCAAUGCCCCAACGAAGGGCCUCCUGAACCCCCUGCACCUUGCUGCCAGGAGCAGGGACAGAAAGGACACCCUAGAACUCCUCCUCCUGAUGAACCGUUACGUCCAACCAGGUCUGAAAAACAGCUUGCAAGAAACUGCGUCAGACAUCACCAGGAGGACAAGUAUCUACCACUACUUUGAAACUGCGGAAGGCUGCACAAAUUCUUCUCCUCAGUCUUGA
Carlito syrichta (Philippine tarsier) is the source of this 793-nucleotide RNA transcript. It is a transcript of the gene named ankyrin repeat domain-containing protein 49 pseudogene, with no coding region annotated. Lineage: Eukaryota; Metazoa; Chordata; Mammalia; Primates; Tarsiidae. The record is from RefSeq and is a predicted model, not a curated record. The transcript has a single exon.